CCUACGGGAGGCAGCAGUGGGGAAUAUUGGGCAAUGGGCGCAAGCCUGUCCCAGCAACGCCGCGUGAAGGAAGAAGGCUUUCGGGUUGUAAACUUCUUUUCUCAGGGACGAAGCAAGUGACGGUACCUGAUGACUAAGCCACGGCUAACUACGUGCCAGCAGCCGCGGUAAUACGGGGGAUGCAAGCGUUAUACGGAUUUAUUGGGUUUAAAGGGUGCGUAGGCUGUGAGGUAAGUCAGCGGGGAAAUGCCCCCGCUCAAGGGGGUGAAGUGCCAUUGAUACUGCCGUGCUGGAAUGCGGAUGCCGUGGGAGGAAUGUGUGGUGUAGCGGUGAAAUGCAUAGAUAUCACACAGAACACCGAUCGCGAAGGCAUCUCACGAAUCCGCGAUUGACGCUGAUGCACGAAAGCGUGGGUAUCAAACAGGAUUAGAUACCCUUGUAGUC
This 444-nucleotide ribosomal RNA is filed under the name uncultured bacterium. RNAcentral's name for it is "partial 16S ribosomal RNA". It matches the Rfam family "Bacterial small subunit ribosomal RNA", at positions 338 to 795 of the family's 1533-position model. The record is from RNAcentral.